RNAcentral lists this ribosomal RNA (460 nucleotides) under uncultured bacterium. RNAcentral's name for it is "partial 16S ribosomal RNA". It matches the Rfam family "Bacterial small subunit ribosomal RNA", at positions 338 to 795 of the family's 1533-position model. The record is from RNAcentral.
CCUACGGGAGGCAGCAGUGAGGAAUAUUGGUCAAUGGACGAGAGUCUGAACCAGCCAAGUAGCGUGAAGGAUGACUGCCCUAUGGGUUGUAAACUUCUUUUAUAUGGGAAUAAAAUGUUCCACGUGUGGGCUUUUGUAUGUACCAUCUGAAUAAGGAUCGGCGAACUCCGUGCCAGCAGCCGCGGUAAUACGGAGGAUCCGAGCGUUAUCCGGAUUUAUUGGGUUUAAAGGGAGCGUAGGUGGAUUGUUAAGUCAGUUGUGAAAGUUUGCGGCUCAACCGUAAAAUUGCAGUUGAAACUGGCAGUCUUGAGUACAGUAGAGGUGGGCGGAAGUCGUGGUGUAGCGGUGAAAUGCUUAGAUAUCACGAAGAACUCCGAUUGCGAAGGCAGCUCACUGGACUGCAACUGACACUGAGGCUCGAAAGUGUGGGUAUCAAACAGGAUUAGAUACCCCAGUAGUC